CCUUGCCUCAGGGUCGGCUUCUGGAGAAACCAAAACAGAGACAGAGGAUGGAGGGCUUUCUUCUGAGCCCACGUGACCCUGCUGAUCAGAGGAGGCCACGAGUCCGGAGGGUGAGCCUUGGCAUCGGUCCACUGCUCUCCAUGGCAACCUGGCUGAUAUACCUGUUUAUAUAUUACAUCCAGUGAAUUCUGAAGUGUCUCACUGAUAGAACAUGGGCUGUAAGAAGAAAGAACACCCUUGCAAACCUGAUCAUAUCUCCCAUGCGGUCCUGACGUCGCUGGUGGACGGAGGGACUAACAUCCAGGUAGGAGAUGUGGGAGAAA
Eubalaena glacialis (North Atlantic right whale) is the source of this 323-nucleotide long non-coding RNA. RefSeq lists it as uncharacterized. The record is from RefSeq and is a predicted model, not a curated record. Lineage: Eukaryota; Metazoa; Chordata; Mammalia; Artiodactyla; Balaenidae. The transcript has 3 exons.